This is a non-coding RNA of Lolium perenne, 778 nucleotides long. Lineage: Eukaryota; Viridiplantae; Streptophyta; Magnoliopsida; Poales; Poaceae. The record is from RefSeq and is a predicted model, not a curated record.
GGGGGGGCCACCAGGAGGACGCCGUCGAGCUCGGCAAGUUUGCCUGCUGCUUCCCCACGACCAAGUUGAGACGAGGCUGUGCUGCUGCCACCUACCGUAGCUGCUGCCAGAGGCCACCUUUCCAUGCUCCUGUCGCAAACGACGACCUCCCCUAUAAGCUGCUGCUGGUUCAAAUCAUACUGGAAGAGGAGAUGUGGGGUGUGAAGGUGCUGUACCGGGAGGUGGUGUCGGUGGCGAACACCAUCGGCAACAUCCUCAAGUGCAACGUGCAGGCACUCAGGUGGCUGAGAAUUGACUAGUAUAUACUGAUUAUGAUUGUUCUAUUUUAACUGCAGUAUGGAGCUUCCAUUUGCUCACACUAGAAUCAAUGCAUGAAUCUGUUCUAGAUUAAAUCCAUGACUUGGUUCAGGUUGGUUGGAAAGGAAUUUGCCAUGUUCUGUAGCAUUGCUUCCUGUUCAUGGACAGCAAGUUGUUCUUAUGAUAUCAUCGCCUUAUUAUUUUACAGUCUUUGCGAAAUAUCUGUAUUUGUUUUGCUGAUCAUGCUCUCUUUUUUGUCCGAGGAUAACGAGGAGGACUGAACGACCGUCGUUGCCCCUUCUUCUUCUUCUUCUUCUUCUUCGACUCCAUGUGUUUUAUGGGGAAGUUUCUAGCUCCUCUUUGUGAUUUCUAAGUCUUUUUGUAGUAUUUGGACCUCAAAUAUGUGUGAAGCUUGAAUUGCUUUCUUGGAUAUAGUGGUGGAUGUACUUGUUUCUGUCAAAUGAAGCUUGUAUUUAUUGCA